GACGAACGCUGGCGGCGUGCCUAAUACAUGCAAGUCGAACGCUUUUUCUUUCACCGGAGCUUGCUCCACCGAAAGAAAAAGAGUGGCGAACGGGUGAGUAACACGUGGGUAACCUGCCCAUCAGAAGGGGAUAACACUUGGAAACAGGUGCUAGUACCGUAUAACACUAUUUUCCGCAUGGAAGAAAGUUGAAAGGCGCUUUUGCGUCACUGAUGGAUGGACCCGCGGUGCAUUAGCUAGUUGGUGAGGUAACGGCUCACCAAGGCAACGAUGCAUAGCCGACCUGAGAGGGUGAUCGGCCACACUGGGACUGAGACACGGCCCAGACUCCUACGGGAGGCAGCAGUAGGGAAUCUUCGGCAAUGGACGAAAGUCUGACCGAGCAACGCCGCGUGAGUGAAGAAGGUUUUCGGAUCGUAAAACUCUGUUGUUAGAGAAGAACAAGGAUGAGAGUAGAACGUUCAUCCCUUGACGGUAUCUAAUCAGAAAGCCACGGCUAACUACGUGCCAGCCGCCGCCGUAA
Molecule: ribosomal RNA, 523 nt
Filed under: uncultured bacterium
Lineage: Bacteria
Description: partial 16S ribosomal RNA
Rfam family: Bacterial small subunit ribosomal RNA
Source: RNAcentral